This 476-nucleotide ribosomal RNA is filed under the name uncultured Magnetococcus sp. RNAcentral describes it as "bacterial SSU rRNA". It matches the Rfam family "Bacterial small subunit ribosomal RNA", at positions 79 to 587 of the family's 1533-position model. Lineage: Bacteria; Pseudomonadati; Pseudomonadota; Magnetococcia; Magnetococcales; Magnetococcaceae. The record is from RNAcentral.
UUCGGUGUGCUGACGAGUGGCGAACGGGUGCGUAACACGUGGAUGACCUGCCCAGAGAUGGGGGACAACAGCUGGAAACGGCUGCUAAUACCGCAUAAUCUCUAAGGAGGAAAGGCUUCGGCCGUCUUUGGAGGGGUCCGCGUCGGAUUAGCUAGUUGGUGGGGUAACGGCCCACCAAGGCGACGAUCCGUAGCUGGUCUUAGAGGAUGAUCAGCCACACUGGGACUGAGACACGGCCCAGACUCCUACGGGAGGCAGCAGUGGGGAAUAUUGCGCAAUGGGGGAAACCCUGACGCAGCGAUACCGCGUGGGUGAAGAAGGUCUUCGGAUUGUAAAGCCCUUUUAGUAGGGAAGAUAGUGACGGUACCUACAGAAGAAGCUCCGGCUAACUCCGUGCCAGCAGCCGCGGUAAUACGGAGGGGGCGAGCGUUGUUCGGAAUUACUGGGCGUAAAGGGCGCGUAGGCUGUUUUUCAAG